RNAcentral lists this small RNA (1530 nucleotides) under Pongo abelii (Sumatran orangutan). Its description in RNAcentral is "retained intron". The record is from RNAcentral. Lineage: Eukaryota; Metazoa; Chordata; Mammalia; Primates; Hominidae.
AUAUAAUUCUGUAUUCAUUGAUCAUAUUUCUGUAUUUAAAUAAGUACAUUUUUUAAAACAUCAUAAAGUGGAUCAGUAAUGCUGUAAUAUCACAUUUCAUAUAUUAUGCAACAUUUUUAAAAUGGAGUACUCCAAAGUAAUUUGCUUCUUAUGGUUACCAAAGUUUAAAGAAUACCCUAACAUGCACUCCAAGAUUUUAAGAGGAAAGCCUUUGUGUUUUUCAUUACUGUAUUUUGAAAUCUGAGAGUGCAAAACUAGUUUUCUUAGGUAAACCCCUUAAUCAGUUUCCACAUUUACCUGUAAAAGUCAGUAGAGGGCAUACAUCUGGAAGUAGUAGUGGCGGUACACAAUGUGUGUUAAUAUGAUUUCCAAGGGGUAUCUAGAGUGAACUUUCUUAAUCACAGAUCUGAUCUGAGCAUGCCACUCCUUUCUUAAAAUCUUUUGUUGAUUUUCCAUUUCCCUAAAAGGAAGGCCCACUGGAGCAUGGGCCUUGCAAAGUCCUCUUUCUGGCUUCUGCCUGCCUGCCUUUUCAGCUUCAUCUCUGCCAUCUUCCCUGAAUGAACUUUUGUCAGGGGCCUCGCUGUUUCUACCUAUGGGAUGUUGUUUCUGCAUGUUCUUGCAUGGAAUUCUCUUCCUCCCAACCCUGUUUCAUUCCUUUAAUCUGUACAACUCUUUCUUAUCCUGAAGUCUUUAUGUUAAGGUUGCCUUUUCAGGAAGACUUUUAAUUGUAUUAACUAAUUAAUUAAUUGUCUGAUGUAUUUGGAGCUGAGAUUCUAUGGGGAUUAGUUGCUGGAGGGUGGUUUAGAGCCAGAUUGUGAAGGACUUUCUAAACUGUGCUUUCAAGGUUUUGAACAGGAAAAUGAUGUAGACUCUCUGUUUUUUGUAAGUUUGGAGGAUGGCUUGUGUCUUAAAAGAAUAUGUAACAUAACCAUCUAAUUUGUGAGUAGUGGACUAAGGAAACACCACUCUAACCUUUUUCUCUCUGCGAUAAUCCCAUCUUCAGCCUCUCAAGCACUGUGAAAAAUCACUUUCUCUUGUUGUAUUCUUGGAGCCCCUGCUAAUUCAUUAUUGAAAAGUACCUGCUGCCUGCAUUUGGCCUUAUGUUGUCAUUUACUUGGUACUUCCUAAGGGUGGCUUCUCCAAUGAAGCUUUAGUAUAUGUACUGAAAGAAGAUCCUCUCAUACUGCCACGGCCAACAGAUAAGGUUGUAAAUCUUUAUUGGGAGAAGCCAUCAAGGACAGUUCUGUGAAAUGAAAGGAUCUCUGAAUCACCACAAAGUCUGGCUCAGUGAUUAUGGCUUUGCAAACACUAAACAUUCCUAUCUCAAGUCCUGUAGAUGGCUUGAAAUAGUAUACAUAAGCAUGCCUUAUAAACAUCUUCAAUCUUUAUCAACUCUUCGGAGAUUCAGCCAUUCUUUUUUGUACUUUAGGGAAUUAAAUCAUUUUAUAAUGUGGUAUAAAUCUGAGCAUGGCAGAUGGCAGAAGAAAUUUUGUCAUAUGUUUUUAAAGAAAUAAAAAUGUAUUCUGUUUU